Long non-coding RNA from Oncorhynchus nerka (sockeye salmon), 1167 nucleotides. RefSeq lists it as uncharacterized. The transcript has 7 exons. Lineage: Eukaryota; Metazoa; Chordata; Actinopteri; Salmoniformes; Salmonidae. The record is from RefSeq and is a predicted model, not a curated record.
AAAACGUCAAAAUGGAGAAGGAGCUGCUCAGAAAAGAGAACGCUGGACUACAAGGAGAGCUGAACAAGGUCACAAGAGAGAGGGAUGAACGACAAGAACAGCUGAGGAAAGCUGAAGAGACCAUCCAAUCCCUCUUCACCUCUCCAGGAGGUCAACAGGAAACACAGACUCCUUCCCAAAAGUAGGGAUGAAGAUGGACUCUUUUCCUGCUCCUGAGAUGGAGAAUGAAGGAUGAUCUGGAGAAGUUGUGGGUGGAAGUUGAGUUUCUAUAGAGCUGAGUUACUAUAGAGAGUCUAUAACUAUAUGCUAUAGGGUUACUAUAGAGAGACUAUAACUACAUGCUAUAGGGUUACUAUAGAGAGACUAUAACUAUAGAGCUGAGUUACUAUAGAGAGACUAUAACUAUAGAGCUGAGUUACUAUAGAGAGACUAUAACUAUAGAGCUGAGUUACUAUAGAGAGACUAUAACUAUAGAGACUAUAACUAUAGAGAGACUAUAACUAUAGAGCUGAGUUACUAUAGAGAGACUAUAACUACAUGCUAUAGGGUUACUAUAGAGAGACUAACUUUCUAUAGAGACCUGUCCCACCUAACAAAGCUGAGUUUCUGAGUAUAUAACUGAGUGAUAUGAAUCUUGGUAAGACAAAGUUAUCUGAUAAACGUGUUAGUCAGUUCUCUAUAAUCCACUUCCAGUAGUUAGUUCUUUACUUUUUGAAGUUUUACUACCCAUGUCUGUAUUAUGGGUUUAUAUCCAUUUCCUGGUUAUUCUAUAGAACACUAUACAACACUAUACCACUAUAAUACUAUAGAACACUAGAACACUAUACAACACUAUAACACUAUAGAACACUAGUUUCACUACCCAUGUUUGUAUUAUGGGUUUAUAUCCAUUUCCUGGUUAUUCUAUACAGUAUUUACGAUGACAUCAUCCACAGACUUCUGGAGCUGUUGGUUAAAAGGCAGAGAUCCUCAAAGAGCAGUACCAGAUCAUCAGGUAUAUAUGUGGUUUCCAUGGUUUCCAUGUUUGGUGCCAUUCCAUUGGCUCCGUUCCAGCCGUUAUAAUGAGCAGACUUCUGGAGCUGUUGGUUAAAAGCCCUUAAAAGGCAAAGAACCUCAAAGAACAAAGAAGGACUUUAUGUUUGUGCUUUUUGUCUGCUCUGCCCCCAG